CGCCGAGGUGCGCGGAGUGGAGCUCUGGGCUGCGGAGGGGAGCCGAGCCGAGUGGCUGGGCGGGCCUGGCCAGGCCAGCGGAGCGGAGACGUCGGUCGAGCGGCGGCGAACAUGCGCUUUUGACACAUUGAAGGCUUUCUUGAUCAUGGAUGGUGAAGAUAUACCAGAUUUUUCAAGUUUAAAGGAGGAAACUGCCUACUGGAAGGAACUUUCCUUGAAGUAUAAACAAAGCUUCCAGGAGGCUCGGGAUGAGCUAGUGGAAUUCCAGGAGGGGAGCAGGGAGCUGGAAGCAGAGCUGGAGGCACAGUUAGUACAGGCCGAGCAGAGGAACAGAGACCUGCAAGCUGACAACCAAAGACUGAAGUACGAAGUGGAAGCGUUGAAGGAGAAGCUGGAGCACCAGUACGCGCAGAGCUACAAGCAGGUGUCGGUGCUGGAGGAUGACCUGAGUCAGACCCGGGCCAUAAAGGAGCAGCUGCACAAGUACGUGCGGGAGUUGGAACAGGCCAACGACGACCUGGAGCGUGCCAAGCGGGCAACAAUAGUUUCACUGGAAGACUUUGAACAAAGGCUAAAUCAGGCCAUCGAACGCAAUGCAUUUUUAGAGAGUGAGCUUGACGAGAAGGAAUCCUUGUUGGUGUCCGUCCAACGGUUAAAGGAUGAAGCAAGAGAUUUAAGACAAGAACUGGCAGUCCGGGAAAGACAACAGGAGGUAACCAGAAAGUCGGCCCCCAGUUCUCCGACCCUUGAUUGUGAAAAGAUGGACUCUGCGGUCCAGGCGUCACUUUCUUUGCCAGCCACUCCUGUUGGCAAGGGCACGGAGAACAGUUUUCCUUCACCAAAAGCUAUACCAAACGGUUUUGGUGCCAGUCCGCUUACUCCUUCUGCUCGGAUCUCCGCGCUCAACAUCGUGGGGGACCUCUUACGGAAAGUCGGGGCUUUAGAAUCCAAAUUAGCAGCUUGCAGGAAUUUUGCAAAGGACCAAGCAUCGCGGAAAUCCUAUAUUUCAGGGAAUGUUAACUGUGGGGUCAUGAAUAGUAACGGCACGAAGUUCUCUCGAUCAGGACAUACGUCUUUCUUUGACAAAGGGCAAGAAAAGGUCAUAUUUCCCACGUUGUUCAUGGAACAUAAAUGAUUUUAUACACAUGUAUGUGCAUGUGUGUGUAUAGCCCCCACAUUCUGGAUUCAGCUACACAGAAGGCAGUAAACGGCUUUGACCCAGCGCCACCACCUCCUGGUCUGGGCUCCUCGCGCCCGUCGUCAGCACCGGGUAUGCUGCCUCUCAGUGUUUGAGUGCCCGGCCUCCAGGUGGGGGCUCCUGCCCUCCUCCAGCAGCCCAGGACACCCACGCCUCACCCCUCGGUGCCUGGGCCCAGCCUGGGCCCCUGCGUCCGCCUCCCCGUGGCCGGCAGAGGGCAGGCUGCAUGUGGUGGCGGCUGCCGGGCCCCGCCCAGCCCCAGGAGUCUGCGCGCUAUCAAUGCUGGCUAUUUUCUCUUCUCGCCGUGGUGCCGUUGGUUUCACAUGAUUGCACUUUUGUGGGUCACAAGGUGAUACGUACGUGUAUUCCUUGGUCACUGGAUGCAGAAGUACCCAUUCGUCACACCUGCCUCAUAGCUCCCACCCUGCUGUACCGAUAAGAUUUAGUUGUGUUUAAGACAUGGCAGACCUUCUAGAAGUUCUCCCCCAGAUCAGGUCAACACAUGCCCUCCUCCUGAGCUCCCGCCCAAGCAUCUUCAGUGCUCACAAUCAUGUGUCCCCCAGCCCCACUCCCCACAGUUUGGCCUGUUGCUGGCACAGAGUCAGGAAGGUCACUGAAUUCGGGAACAUUUUCUGCACCUUCUGAUUUUACUUUAGCAGUUAUCAUUCCAUAGACUUGCCUCCCGGAGAGCGAGACGCCUGUCUGAUCCGCAGGGAGCAGGAGCCUCUGGGCCAGGGUGCCCACAGCGCGGGGCCUCUGCGCGGUCUCCUCCUCCGCAUGGCUCCGGGUGAGGGCGGGGGCAACCUCCUGGCCAGCUUUCUGGUCCUUCAGUUAAGUGACAUCUUUCAGAGCGUUUUGUUUUGUCCUCUGAGGGCCCGUGCGGUCGUGUUAGGAAAGGUUGCGCACCCGAGUCGGGGCAGACCGGCCGCCGUGGUGGUUCUGUGCGUCCUUUGGUUCCUCUCAUGCUGCAUUACUGUUUACAUUUGUGUUACUGUACAUAGGUUUGUAAACAUUACUGCCCGAGGUAUUUGUAUAUAACCUGGGCUUUGUAGCUUUUAUUUAUUCAGAAUUCAUAUGGCAUGUUAACGACUGACGCUGUCCGACUCGGGCGGCCGUAUAGGAUCAUCAUGUGGUUAAAAGAGAAAAAAAUACUUCCCCUCAAAAAAAUCUUUUAAUGUGGAAACAAUAAAUUUCACAGAAAACAAA
Molecule: RNA transcript, 2404 nt
Organism: Lutra lutra (Eurasian river otter)
Lineage: Eukaryota; Metazoa; Chordata; Mammalia; Carnivora; Mustelidae
Gene: NDEL1
Gene name: nudE neurodevelopment protein 1 like 1
Exons: 11
Source: RefSeq, a predicted model, not a curated record